UUGGCAGACUAUCUCCAAAGGCAUCAAUUUCUAGUGCUAAUUACCACUAAUUAUUCACUCAGCAAUUGUAAGUUGCAUUCAGUCCCUGAGGGUGGAAGGGAGAUUUGUCUCUCUCCAGCGUAGCAUGUUUCGUAUAUUUGUUUUAAGAGAUUUUUACAUUCAGACAUCAAAAUAGCAUAGAGAUCUGCAGAACUUUCCUGUCUGUUGCCAGGAAGGGAUUGAGAUUUCCUUGCGCACUAUAAAGAGUCUGUAUGGUUGCUCAGCACCCGGCACCUGGCAGGAAGGGUUUUAUCUCUCACGUUUCUCUGCCGUGUGGAAGGGAUUGGGCCCCACACGUUGUUUCAGUGUCUAAGUGGAUUUAAUUUAGCAGGUUUCUGAUUGCUCAGGCUUGAAGGUCUAGUGUCCAACCUGGCUGUUAAACAGCUAUGCGUAACUGACUCGGAGCUUAUUGUUCAUGACCACAGUUACUAGAAAGGCCAUCACAUCCUGGAUCUUCAGUGCUUAGAUUUGGCCUCAGACCAGACCCCCCACAUCCCUUGAAACUUACUCCUUCAAGCCCUAUGAGCAGCUAACAGACUUGGAUGCUGGUACUGUUCUGCAGCAGCUAGAGAUCUUUCAACUGUUUUUCCCCAAGAUUCGUUGCUUAGUCCUAUAACUACUGAAGAGCCCAGCUGCAGGGACUGCUCUGACACCUCUGCAUCACCGAGUAACUAUGUCACCUCUCCUAGCACCCUCUAUGCUGCGGUUUACACAUCACAAUGGGAAGUGACGGGGACUGACGAGCUAGGCCCAGUCUGUUUUAAAAGUGUUGAGAAUCAUUCUUCCUGCUUUGUUGUAAGAAAUAUUGAGUAAUAUCAGCUCCUACUGAGAAGCCUUCAUCCGAUGGAGAGGUAUAGCUGAAGAGGCCAAGUGAUGCUGCAGUGAAUCAGUGUAAACAGGCAAUAUGUAAUGUUGCACAAGGACUCUGUUCUUCGGUAACUGAGGAAACAGCAAAGCUGUAAUUUAAACACAAAUUCAGUUCCAUGUAGAUCAUCAAAUUUUAAUUAAAUAUAAUUUUAUUAAAUAUUCUAUAUCAUAAAUACAUAUA
This 1087-nucleotide long non-coding RNA is filed under the name Anser brachyrhynchus (Pink-footed goose). RNAcentral describes it as "lncRNA (ENSABRG00000014015.1)". Lineage: Eukaryota; Metazoa; Chordata; Aves; Anseriformes; Anatidae. The record is from RNAcentral.